This is a long non-coding RNA of Gorilla gorilla gorilla (western lowland gorilla), 2723 nucleotides long. RefSeq lists it as uncharacterized. The transcript is spliced from 2 exons. Lineage: Eukaryota; Metazoa; Chordata; Mammalia; Primates; Hominidae. The record is from RefSeq and is a predicted model, not a curated record.
CGCCGCGCUCCGCUGGCUGGGCCGUGCUGGCCCCUGGCGCUCGGCAGCUGACUCCAUCCAGAUGUGCCGCGGCUCCAGAGUGGCUGCCGCGCACAGUAAAUGGGCAUCGGAGGCUCGUCAAUCCGGGCCAGAGCAAUUGCGGUCUCGGGGCCGCCCCACUGGCACUCGGAAAGGGUCUCACUCUUUCACCCAGGCAGAAGAGCAGUGGUACGAUCUUGGUUCACUACAGCCUUGACCUCCUGGGCUCAAGUGAUCCUUCCACCUCAGCCUCCGGAGUAGCUGGGACCACAGGAAUGCAAUACCAUGUCUGGCUAAUUUUUGUACUUUUGGUAGAGGCGGGGUCUUCCUACCUUACCAGGGCUGGUCUCAAACUCCCGGGCUCAAGCGAUCCUCCUUGCCUUGGCCUCCCAAAGUACUGAGAUUACAGGCAUGAGCCGCUGCACAGAGCCCCACUAACUAUUUUUUGAAUAAAUCUGAGUUCCUGAAAUAUUGAAUACAAUCUGUUUAGAGGAAGAAGCUGUAAAACUGUAAUAAGAUGAAAGAAGAAGAAAGGAAGAAAAGGAGGAGCGAAAGGAGGAGGGGAAGAAACUGAUUCAUGCAGGUUAAAUAAUAUCAUAAUUAUUCCACCGUAAUUUUUUUGCACUUUAAAGUACUCACCUGUCUAUUCUGUACUGGAGUUCUGACCUUGUUUCUGGUCUACCACACUGCUGCAUUUUCAAACCAAGAAUUCACUGAGAGCGAAUAGGAAGGCUCGUGCACCAGAGAGACUAUUCUGAUUUAUUUCUUAAUUAUUUAUCAACAAAACUUAAUUGGCACACUUAUUGAGAGAGUUUCAAAUCAGCGUGCUGGGCGCUGGGAAGCGCGCUGGGUGCUGAGACGCGGGAAGCCACAGCUUCUCUGGAGAAGCUCGCAUUCUGAAAGGAAGCGUUGGGAGAGGACAUGGAUGAAAACAUACAAGACAAAACAGUGAGCAUUGUGAUAAGAGAUAAUACAGUGUCACAGCAGCAAGAAGAAGGAAUUCACGACUCUCAAGAGGUCGAGAUCAUCCUUGAACCACCACUGACCUCAAGGCAAGGCACAAGGUGAAGAGCCCCCGAGUGGCACAGGGAGAUUGAGGGUCUCAUCCCCACUCAUAGGAAUUCAGCCCAUCAGUGGUCUAGACUGAGACAAGAAAUUAAGGAAAUUUGACUCUUAUGCCACUUCUGUAUUUAUCCAUUCAUUCGUGGGAACACUGAGAUUCCACUCCCUGUGCCUGACAGUUUGAACUAACAUUCUUACACGUUGGUAUCACUCAAGAAUCACACUGGGAGAAGGUGGGUUUAGGUUUCUCUAGCUAGAAAAAGACUCACCACAAGGAAUCGAAUGUAAUCCUAGUUCUAAUCCAAUCUAGACCAAAAGGGUCCAGUUACUGUCCACAGAGGGCUGUGUCCAGGAAGGCCAUACUGGUGUGCUCCCAGCCACAGCCCCAGCAUGGCCGACACACAGGAAUGAAAGGUCAUGCCAGCUCCUGCUCCUUCCUUAUCCUAAGAGCCCGAGGCCCACACCUUCCCUUAAACAGACCCAGGGCACAGCCCUUCCUUAAGUCAUCCCAUAACAGUGCUGGACUACCAAAGUCCAAGCCACCACACAGGGAUGACAUAAGUGAGGUUUCCAUCUGCCAAGAGGCCAGAGGAAUGCAAGUGUCACGUCAUGGGGAAGGAAGGCCCAGUAGUAAGAGCCACCUCCGAGGGGCCUUCUUUGUGGAUUGAGGGUGUCUUCUCCAUGCAGUUAGCUUAAUAACAAUAAACGGGUGGACUAGGUUCAUGAUUGAUAAAUUCCUUCUCUACCCAGCCCUCCCCCUGCCCUAGACAAUGUUGGUGUCUGUACAAUUAGAAGGAUCUAUUCUCUUUUUAAUGCGGAAGCAAAGCAGAGUGAUAGGAGCUUGGAGAAAUCGCAGCACAGAUGUCAGGCCGUAGGCCCAAGGGCUGUUAAAAAAAGAAAACUCUGUAAAUGGAAGUGAGGCUUAGUAAGGCACAACCCUUAAGUCUUGGCUCACAAUGCAAAGGAAAAAAAGGAAAAAGAAAAAAGACUGGUGGGUGGGGGAGUUUCCUGAAGCCAUGAGUAAAAUCUGGCAGAAAGCAUUCUAUACAGCCUUUUUUGGUUUCAAUCCGCAUGACAUCACAAUCUGUGAAUUUUGCUGUGAUUGAAUUUGAAUGAACUUGUAGAUUCAAAACAAAACCCAUUUGAAACAAGCUCCACAAAGCAACCCUAUCUUCCCCGCAGCAGUUAAGUGCAUUUCCUAACUGCCUUCUUCUUUUCUGGAUGGCAAGGCCCGCCUGGGACUCACACACCAAGUCCAAACCACACAGACACAUGCAUGCACACGCAUGCAGACACAUACAAGCACACACAGACAUAUGUGCGCACACACAUGCAGAUAUACAUGUGCACAUACACUCAUUCACAGAAACAUACACACACACACCCAGUGGGAGCAGCAGGUCCAAGAGAAGUGGCAGGAGCACUGGACUGGACUGUCGAUUCUACCUGGGAGAACCUGCCCAUCCUUUUGUUCCACUUCCCCUUUUUAUUCCUAUUAUCUUAGUUCUGCCCAGUAAAGGCAAGAAGGAAGACCUAGACCAGCCCUGCAAACACAUUGUGAGCUUAGAGAAACCAGGGCAGAAGAAAAGAAAACCACACAACAGUACUGGUGUGACAAUUAAAGUAUUCCACUAUUCCAGGCU